RNAcentral lists this ribosomal RNA (378 nucleotides) under Aliterella chasmolithica PJ S15. Its description in RNAcentral is "bacterial SSU rRNA". It matches the Rfam family "Bacterial small subunit ribosomal RNA", at positions 398 to 793 of the family's 1533-position model. The record is from RNAcentral. Lineage: Bacteria; Bacillati; Cyanobacteriota; Cyanophyceae; Chroococcidiopsidales; Aliterellaceae.
CGCGUGAGGGAGGGGCUCUUGGGUUGUAAACCUCUUUUCUGAGGGAAGAAAAAAAUGACGGUACCUCAGGAAUCAGCAUCGGCUAACUCCGUGCCAGCAGCCGCGGUAAUACGGAGGAUGCAAGCGUUAUCCGGAAUGAUUGGGCGUAAAGCGUCCGCAGGUGGCAUUUCAAGUCUGCGGUCAAAGGUCGAGGCUCAACCUCGAACAGGCCGUGGAAACUGAGAAGCUAGAGUGUGGUAGGGGCAGAGGGAAUUCCCAGUGUAGCGGUGAAAUGCGUAGAGAUUGGGAAGAACACCGGUGGCGAAAGCGCUCUGCUAGGCCAAGACUGACACUGAGGGACGAAAGCUAGGGGAGCGAAUGGGAUUAGAUACCCCCUAG